Non-coding RNA from Paramisgurnus dabryanus, 839 nucleotides. NCBI's taxonomy places the organism in Eukaryota, Metazoa, Chordata, Actinopteri, Cypriniformes, Cobitidae. The record is from RefSeq and is a predicted model, not a curated record.
AGGAAAGCAACAUUUUAUUGGACCCUGAGCAAAGUAACAGUUCAGAUGAGGAAUCUGAGGACCUCAUUAACCUCGAGAAUGCUGAGUGGAACAAAGAUGUACAUCCUGAGACUGCCCCUAUGGAUCCGUUAAACUUGGACGAUGGAGAUGAGCCUAUAUAUCCAGGAAGUGAUGUCACCAAGGCUGAGACUAUUUUGAAGAUUCUUACAUUUGUCCUGCGUCACAAAAUAAGCGGAGAGGGUUUGAAAGACUUCCUGUCACUACUGCACAUCUUAUUUCCAAGCAUCCUGCCAGCAACAAAAUACUUAUUUGAUAAGUACUUUAUAUCCAUUACAAACCAAUUUGAAAUUCACUUUUACUGUGAGUCCUGCAAAGGAUACAUUUGUAAGGAAGAGACAAAUCUCACCAAAUGUCCUCACUGUGAUCUGGCAUUCAGCAUUGCAUCUAACCUUAAAAAUGGGUCCUUCAUGAUCUAUUUGCCUUUGUCUUCCUCACUUAAAGAUGUCCUGGAAAGUCUAAAAAACAACUCGCAACAUCUCAUUAACAAAGCUGAAUGGGUAUGGGACGACACAAUUCGUGAUAUUUUUGAUGGUGACAUCAUGAGAGAUCAUAUUCAGAACAACACAAUUGGCCAGUGGGAUUUGACAUUACUAUGGAAUUGUGACGGAAUUCCGGUUUUUGAAUCAUCUCAAUGUUCUCUCUGGCCAAUACAAGUAACUAUUAAUGAGCUGCCACCAGCUGUGAGAAAAGAACAUGUCCUAUUGUCCUCACUUUGGUUCGGCAAGUCCAAGCCAGUCAUUCAGACCUUUUUAAAACCAUUUGUUGAAGAGAUGGGAGCU